Molecule: ribosomal RNA, 229 nt
Filed under: uncultured bacterium
Lineage: Bacteria
Description: partial 16S ribosomal RNA
Rfam family: Bacterial small subunit ribosomal RNA
Source: RNAcentral
UACGUAGGCGGAAAAUUAAGUCAGUAGUGAAAUCCUGCAGCUUAACUGUAGAACUGUUAUUGAUACUGGUUUUCUUGAAUUUAGUUGAGGUAGGCGGAAUGUGUAAUGUAGCGGUGAAAUGCUUAGAUAUUACACAGAACACCGAUUGCGAAGGCAGCUUACUAAACUAUGAUUGACGCUGAGGUACGAAAGCGUGGGGAGCGAACAUGAUUAGAUACCCUGGUAGUCC